CAAGCAAGAACAGAAUCUUGCAUAAUCCAUAAGAUCAAAGUCUAGAGUUUUCUUUAUCACAUAUUGAAUAUCCCCUAACAGCGAGCACAUGAAAAAACUUCCACCAAUUAGUUAUUGUUUUGUUUGUGCCCUAUAAGUUUACAAAAUACAGUGAUUAACAGCAUUAGCCAUGAAUUGAAGAUGUAGAAACCAGCAAUGGAGACUUUGAGUUGAGUGAGCCAUGGUGAUAUCAUUCUGGUCGAGUGAACUUCCAAAAUUCAGCCACUCCUGGUUCUACGACUCCCCAUGUUUGACACAUAAUGCCGGAUAUCUUCAUUUGAAACUUGCAGUUCCCUCCAGGUGCAAGGGGUGUUCAUCGGUCUCUCCAGAAUUCGUGUUUCGCUACAUACAACACCAGAACAGUUUCGUUCCCUCAUCACAGGGCGUAAAUCCUGUCAAUGUCAGAAUUAGAGAACUCAGAGUGGUACCAUGAGUUGGAACCACUUCUAGCAUGUUUUUCCUUCUUCCUUAUCGAUCUUUUCUUCCUUGAUCUUACGACAUAGUAAGUCAUGGUUCCAAGAACCCCGGCCAUUAUUAUUCCCCCUACUGCUGUUACCAAUAUUGCAGCCCAUUCAUACUUGCGACCGACCACUAUAUAAGAAGAUGCCAUAAAAGCCACUGAAGUGCAGACAGAAGCCAACCACAUCAAUUUGUUAAUCACCUCGACGACUUUUCUUUCUGCCUUAGUUUCUCCUCUAACCAAUGUAAUCUGAACUACGACAACAGCAAGAGAUGUAAAAAGAGCAAGGGCGUUGAAGAUGAAGAAGAUCUUAAAUGAAGCAGUGCUCACAACCACAGCCACUCCAUGCUCAUCAUCACCUCCAGGCACAGUGAAAAUAGCAGCAAAGGCAACUGUGGCAAAGAGAACAGCAACGACAGUCACAGAAUUCGUUGCAUUAUUAAUCCCUUCUCGAUGGAGCUUUCUAAGCUCUUUAGCAAUUCCGUGGACAUUUUUAUUUGUCCUUUUAGUUUGUUCAAGCUGUGUGUGAAUGUCUUUCUUGAUCUGACUGACAGUUUUCCUCAACUCAUCCCUU
RNAcentral lists this unclassified non-coding RNA (1073 nucleotides) under Hevea brasiliensis (rubber tree). Lineage: Eukaryota; Viridiplantae; Streptophyta; Magnoliopsida; Malpighiales; Euphorbiaceae. The record is from RNAcentral.